CUGGUCGUAGUUCAGCGGUAGAACACUCGCUUUGGGAGCGAGGGGCCGCAGGUUCGAUCCCUGCCGACCAGACCA
RNAcentral lists this transfer RNA (75 nucleotides) under Streptomyces phage Shady. Its description in RNAcentral is "tRNA-Pro". It matches the Rfam family "tRNA". Rfam says of the family: Transfer RNA (tRNA) molecules are approximately 80 nucleotides in length. Lineage: Duplodnaviria; Heunggongvirae; Uroviricota; Caudoviricetes; Colingsworthviridae. The record is from RNAcentral.